UAGAAGUGAGAAUGCCGGUAUGAGUAGCGAAAGACAGGUGAGAAUCCUGUCCACCGUAAGACUAAGGUUUCCAGGGGAAGGCUCGUCCGCCCUGGGUUAGUCGGGACCUAAGGAGAGACCGAAAGGUGUAUCCGAUGGACAACAGGUUGAUAUUCCUGUACUAGAGUAUAUAGUGAUGGAGGGACGCAGUAGGCUAACUAAACCAGACGAUUGGAAGUGUCUGGCCAAGCAGUGAGGUGUGAUAUGAGUCAAAUGCUUAUAUCUAUAACAUUGAGCUGUGAUGGGGAGCGAAGUUUAGUAGCGAAGUUAGUGAUGUCACACUGCCGAGAAAAGCUUCUAGCGUUAAUUAUACUCUACCCGUACCGCAAACCGACACAGGUAGUCGAGGCGAGUAGCCUCAGGUGAGCGAGAGAACUCUCGUUAAGGAACUCGGCAAAAUGGCCCCGUAACUUCGGGAGAAGGGGCGCUGACUUAUGGUCAGCCGCAGUGAAUAGGCCCAAGCAACUGUUUAUCAAAAACACAGCUCUCUGCUAAAUCGUAAGAUGAUGUAUAGGGGGUGACGCCUGCCCGGUGCUGGAAGGUUAAGAGGAGUGCUUAGCGUAAGCGAAGGUAUGAAUUGAAGCCCCAGUAAACGGCGGCCGUAACUAUAACGGUCCUAAGGUAGCGAAAUUCCUUGUCGGGUAAGUUCCGACCCGCACGAAAGGCGUAAUGAUUUGGGCACUGUCUCAACGAGAGACUCGGUGAAAUUUUAGUACCUGUGAAGAUGCAGGUUACCCGCGACAGGACGGAAAGACCCCAUGGAGCUUUACUGCAGUUUGAUAUUGAGUAUCUGUACCACAUGUACAGGAUAGGUAGGAGCCUAUGACCUCGGGACGCCAGUUUCGAGUGAGGCGUUGUUGGGAUACUACCCUUGUGUUAUGGCUACUCUAACCCAGAUAGGUUAUCCCUAUCGGAGACAGUGUCUGACGGGCAGUUUGACUGGGGCGGUCGCCUCCUAAAAGGUAACGGAGGCGCCCAAAGGUUCCCUCAGAAUGGUUGGAAAUCAUUCGCAGAGUGUAAAGGUAUAAGGGAGCUUGACUGCGAGAGCUACAACUCGAGCAGGGACGAAAGUCGGGCUUAGUGAUCCGGUGGUUCCGCAUGGAAGGGCCAUCGCUCAACGGAUAAAAGCUACCCUGGGGAUAACAGGCUUAUCUCCCCCAAGAGUUCACAUCGACGGGGAGGUUUGGCACCUCGAUGUCGGCUCAUCGCAUCCUGGGGCUG
RNAcentral lists this ribosomal RNA (1260 nucleotides) under metagenome. RNAcentral's name for it is "bacterial LSU rRNA". It matches the Rfam family "Bacterial large subunit ribosomal RNA", at positions 1283 to 2555 of the family's 2925-position model. The record is from RNAcentral.